This 73-nucleotide small RNA is filed under the name Salix viminalis (osier). The record is from RNAcentral. Lineage: Eukaryota; Viridiplantae; Streptophyta; Magnoliopsida; Malpighiales; Salicaceae.
GCCGAGAUGGUCUAAAGCGCGCCAGAUUAAGGUUCCCUCCUAGAGGGCAUGGGUUCGAAUCCCACUCUCGACA